RNAcentral lists this ribosomal RNA (460 nucleotides) under uncultured bacterium. RNAcentral's name for it is "partial 16S ribosomal RNA". It matches the Rfam family "Bacterial small subunit ribosomal RNA", at positions 338 to 795 of the family's 1533-position model. The record is from RNAcentral.
CCUACGGGAGGCAGCAGUGAGGAAUAUUGGUCAAUGGCCGGAAGGCUGAACCAGCCAAGCCGCGUGAAGGACGAAGGUGCCAAGCAUUGUAAACUUCUUUUGUCAAGGGACAAAAUCAGGCUCGAGAGCCUGACCGAGGGUACUUGAAGAAAAAGCAUCGGCUAACUCCGUGCCAGCAGCCGCGGUAAUACGGAGGAUGCGAGCGUUAUCCGGAUUUACUGGGUGUAAAGGGCGUGCAGCCGGAGAGACAAGUCAGAUGUGAAAUCCACGGGCUCAACCCGUGAACUGCAUUUGAAACUGUUUCCCUUGAGUGUCGGAGAGGUAAUCGGAAUUCCUUGUGUAGCGGUGAAAUGCGUAGAUAUAAGGAAGAACACCAGUGGCGAAGGCGGAUUACUGGACGAUAACUGACGGUGAGGCGCGAAAGCGUGGGGAGCAAACAGGAUUAGAUACCCUUGUAGUC